This 576-nucleotide long non-coding RNA is filed under the name Elaeis guineensis (African oil palm). RNAcentral's name for it is "long non-coding RNA (EGUI_LNC071732)". The record is from RNAcentral. Lineage: Eukaryota; Viridiplantae; Streptophyta; Magnoliopsida; Arecales; Arecaceae.
GCAGGGGGUGUAACAGAUUGACAGCGACGUCUGUAACCGCCUAGUAGUGGGUCGUUCGGGGCCAUGAGGAGUUUGUUACGGAGAGUAGUGGAGUGGAGUCGUGGCCAUCAUCGUGGCCUGCCACAUGGAGACUGUUGGGGAGAGUGGAGUGAUGUCCAUUGUUGUGACUUGCCAGAGCAUGAUGGAGCCACGUGGGAUCCGUUAUCGGAAGUGGAGCAGAGUCGUGGCCAUUACUGUGGCCUGCCACGGAGUCCAGGCCCGUCGGUCAAAGCUCGGUUGGGGUGUCUGGUGGAGAGGGGUAGCUCUCCGUCUAAGAGGAGCUCGGAUGUUGCUGGCGAGCCUUCUACCGUUGGGUGUCUUGAGUGCUAGUACUGCGGGUGAAGGUCAUCUGCUGUAGAAGCUCGGUCAGGGGUUUUCCAUGGACGAGGUUCGAUUUCAUGCAGAAUCUGAUAGAAGGUCGACCGACAGUGGAUGUCGGAUGAUGCUGGAGAGAUUUACCCACUGGAGGGGUCCGGCUACUGGAGCCCGUGUGUCGUAGGAGUUCGUCCGAAAUCUGUCCGCUACAGAAGCUCGGUC